UGAACGUUGGCGGCAUGGAUUAGGCAUGCAAGUCGAGCGCGAAAGGUCUGGUGCUUGCAUUAGACCUUGAAAGCGGCGAAAGGGAGAGUAACGCGUAGGGUAUCUGCCCCCGGGACUGGGAUAGCGGCGGGAAACUGCCGGUAAUACCAGAUAAUGUCUCCGGACCAAAGGUGUGAUUCCACCUGGGGAGGAUCCUGCGUCCUAUUAGCUAGUUGGUGAGGUAAUGGCUCACCAAGGCGAUGAUGGGUAGCGGGCGUGAGAGCGUGGCCCGUCUCACUGGGACUGAGACACUGCCCAGACACCUACGGGGUGGCUGCAGUCGAGAAUCUUCCGCAAUGGGCGAAAGCCUGACGGAGCGAUGCCGCGUGCGGGAUGAAGGCCUUCGGUUGUAACCGCUGUCAGUGGGUGGAGUUAGUUGGGUUCGUCCCAGCUAUUGACCUAACCGCAGAGAAGUCCGGCGUAGUACGUGCCAGCAG
This 476-nucleotide ribosomal RNA is filed under the name uncultured bacterium. RNAcentral describes it as "bacterial SSU rRNA". It matches the Rfam family "Bacterial small subunit ribosomal RNA", at positions 30 to 514 of the family's 1533-position model. The record is from RNAcentral.